UGGGGGAUAUUGCACAAUGGGCGAAAGCCUGAUGCAGCGACGCCGCGUGGGGGAUGAAGGCCUUCGGGUUGUAAACUUCUUUUGCUCUGAACAAGGCAUGCUAAUGGGUGUGUUGAGUGUAGGGGUUGAUUAGCGCCGGCUAACUACGUGCCAGCAGCCGCGGUAAUACGCAGGGCGCGAGCGUUGUCCGGAAUUAUUGGGCGUAAAGGGCUUGUAGGUGGCUGGUUGCGUCUGUCGUGAAAGCUCAUGGCUUAACUGUGGGUUUGCGGUGGGUACGGGCUGGCUUGAGUGCAGUAGGGGAGGCUGGAAUUCCUGGUGUAGCGGUGGAAUGCGCAGAUAUCAGGAGGAAUACCGGUGGCGAAGGCGGGUCUCUGGGCUGUUACUGACACUGAGGAGCGAAAGCAUGGGGAGCGAACAGG
Molecule: ribosomal RNA, 419 nt
Filed under: bacterium
Lineage: Bacteria
Description: partial 16S ribosomal RNA
Rfam family: Bacterial small subunit ribosomal RNA
Source: RNAcentral